Papaver somniferum (opium poppy) is the source of this 733-nucleotide long non-coding RNA. RefSeq lists it as uncharacterized. The record is from RefSeq and is a predicted model, not a curated record. NCBI's taxonomy places the organism in Eukaryota, Viridiplantae, Streptophyta, Magnoliopsida, Ranunculales, Papaveraceae. The transcript has 2 exons.
UCUUCUCAAACUGUUCGAGAAUCUUAGAAGGAAAACCCAAGGUUCGCCUACCUCCAUCUUGUUCUCCUUCAUUUCUUAAUUAUUUUAUGUUCUGUUUAAACAAUUGGAUUCAGGAGAAGCUUUUGUACCUUGGGUCAAGAACGUUUUUCAUUGUAAUCAUCGUUUUGGAACUCCACCAUUACCAACAGUUCGGGUAACACCAUUAACAACGGUUCAAGAACCCUAUCUCUUGCUGAACUUGUCUACUAUAUUGUACAAGGGAGUGAUAUCGACUUUCGUGGCCUUAUUUCGUCAGAUGAUAAGUGUAAGACAGAUAAGACUCCAGGCUUUCCUUGUCUCAUUUGAAGGAUUCUUAGUCAGUACAUCAUUACUCCUUUUGGAACCAACCUUGGAGGACGAAAAGUCUUAACCAUGGAAAGCAUCGGAAAGAUGAUCAGAACUCUUGCUAGAACUUCAGCUCAAAAUCCUGAGUUUAUCCGUCUUCAACAACAGGUUGAAUGCUUGAAGGAGCAAGUGGAUUAUACUUUGGAAGCUCAUCCAGAACUGGCUGAACCGUUUGAUGAAAUUUCUAAGGGCUUUUAUAACAACUUGGAUUAACUGGAUUUUCAUGUUUGUUAUGUGGUUAUGUUUUGUUCUCUUAUGAUGUUUCUGUUGAACUUAUUAUGUCGAACUUAUUAAAACUGUUAUCUUGUAGUGGUUGUAAUAACUUUAAUGGUAUUUUAUCUUUGAAUUA